This 2178-nucleotide long non-coding RNA is filed under the name Vitis vinifera (wine grape). RNAcentral describes it as "long non-coding RNA (VVIN_LNC007393)". Lineage: Eukaryota; Viridiplantae; Streptophyta; Magnoliopsida; Vitales; Vitaceae. The record is from RNAcentral.
ACCCACAUUUAUCGUGUCCAUAUGCGUCGUGCCCAUCCAAAAGUUCACACUGAUUUCCCUCCAGAAUUUCACAUCGAUUGGCAUGCAAUCCGACACCUGUGGUAGUACUAGUUGCCUGUCAACCUAAGAUAUGUAUAGAACUAGUUCAGUGGUUACUGUUUGUAAGUUUGUAUAUAUUCAUGUAUUGGUUGUUCUAUAACUGAUGACUUUCAUCUUACUGAAAAAGCAUCGUGUAUGACUGUCUGUAUCCAAACAUGCAAAGUGUCUUUAAGACAAUAUUAUUUAGCCCUUAACUUUGUCUAUAUAAGAAAAGUCUAGUAUUUAUUUUAUAGGCAGAAUACAACAAACUUGUUCCAAAGCAUGAAGAUUGUUGGAUAGUUUAUCUGUGUGUUGUCUACGCUUCCAGUGCUUGAACUUUUCCUCCUGGAUUUUUGGGCUUCAUGGUCUAGAUCUCAUUCACUUGGAGUUGAUGAUUCAAUAAUUAUUCAGAUUCAAGUAUUCAAAUUACUACUUGUAAAAUGUGAAAAGUGAUCAAUGGCUUUAAAGGUAAAGUUUCUCAGCUACUGUAAGGUUGAUUAGGUAUGAUGUUUUCAUUAACUCUUCUGAUUAUGCAUUGAGGGUUUUUUUUUUUUUUUUUUUUUUUAGUUGUAGCAGGUGGUAUGUGAUAGGAGUUUUUUUAGAUAUAUCUAGUAAAUGCUUGAAUGCAUGGUGACUAUUUGGAUAUAUCUAGGUAUGUGAUAGGUGUUGGCCCCUUGAACAUAGGGGAUUUGAGGGGGUGACUUCAUGAUGAUAAUUUUUUUUUUUUUUAAAAAAAAGAAAAAAAUGGAUUUAGGGUGGAAAAUUUUUCAUGGGUAGGGUUGUUUAGUUUUGGAGCUUAGGGCAUGAGCAAUGUGUUCAAUUGAAGCAUUCUAUUUCAAAUCAUAUUCAAGAGAGAUGAGUAAAAACCAGGAUUUAUAGUGUGGGAAUGGUGNNNNNNNNNNNNNNNNNNNNNNNNNNNNNNNNNNNNNNNNNNNNNNNNNNNNNNNNNNNNNNNNNNNNNNNNNNNNNNNNNNNNNNNNNNNNNNNNNNNNAUCUAGGGUUCUUAAUGUGAAAAGACCUUUCUAUUUCCUUUUAAUUUAAUCAUAUUUAUUUCUUUAUUUUAAAAUUCUUAUUUUACCCCUAGUGUUAAGUUUAGGGUGUUGCAUUAAUAUUGGUAUUAAGGACCUACAAUGUUCUGUAGAGACAGGUGAUGCAGAUGUGGGGAGUCAGGUCACUGUUACAUGAGUCCAUAGACUCGUUUAUCCAUUUAAUUGUAAGGGAUGGAUGUGUUCCCUCAAAUGCCUUGGAAAACAAAAGGAAAUGUGUUCAUUGACAGUUGAGAUGCUUAAAGUUGUUUACAUUACAUGUAUGUAUAAUGCUCAACAAAUGACAUGAAGUUUAAACUCUAGAUGUGCAACUCUUUACAAAUGAGCUGUCUGAUGGUCUUCUCUUAUCUACAAAUUAUUGAUAUUUUCAUGAUGGGGCUGAUCAUGAAUUUUGUGCAGGGUCGUGUAGUACCUCUGAUGGCAUGCAUAUUUCUAUUAAUAAUCCUGUGGCUUUCUGUUGCCUCAACCUGCAUUUAUCGUAUCCAUAUGCGUCGUGCCCAUCCAAAAGCUCACACUGAUUUCCCUCCAGAAUUUCACAUCGAUUGGCAUGCAAUCCGACACCUGUGGUAGUUCUAGUUGCCUGUCAACCUAAGAUAUGUAUAGAACUAGUUCAAUGGUUACUGUUUGUAAGUUUGUAUAUAUUCACGUAUUGGUUGUUCUAUAACUGAUGACUUUCAUCUUACUGAAAAAGCAUCGUGUAUGACUGUCUGACAUCCAAACAUGCAAGGUGUCUUUAAGACAAUAUUAUUUAGCCCUUAACUUUGUCUAUAUAAGAAAAGUCCAGUAUUUAUUUUAUAGGCAGAAUAGAACAAAUUUGUUCCAAAGCAUGAAGAUUGUUGGAUAGUUUAUCUGUGUGUUGUCUACACAUCCUGUGCUUGAACUUUUCCUCCUGGAUUUUUGGGCUUCAUGGUCUAGAUCUCAUUCACUUGGAGUUGAUGAUUCAAUAAUUAUUCAGAUUCAAGUAUUCAAAUUACUACUAGUAAAAUGUGAAAAGUGAUCAAUGGCUUUAAAGGUAAAGUUUCUCAGCUACUGUAAGGUUGAUUAGGUAUGAUGU